UGAAAAGCUUUGAGUCGAUCUAUUCCCCCUGACUCUUACACUUCAUCUUCAUCGUUUCAUAUCUCUGUAAUAAUCACAACCCACUCUCACCAUUCAAUUCCUUUAUUUACUCCUUCCAUUACAGAUGUUGUUGUUCCAUCUCCUACUUUUACCUCUCUUAUAUAAUCAUCUUUCUUGAAUCGUUAGUUGGUCAAUAUCCAAAACCCUAUAGAGAAGAACAACAAGCGAUGGCCAUGAAAUCUGUUCUGAACUCCGCCAAGUCCAAGUCGCCGUGACAUCUCUCUGGGUCAGCGGAUUGUGAAUUAGGUUUCUUUAUGAUCCACUUUUGGGGGGCUAGAAACACUGCAAAAGGGGGAUUUUUAUUGGUUUUGAGAUGCUACACAUCUACGAACAGGUACAAUUGUUUAUUUUUAUAGAUUCCUCUAAUCCCCAUCUCUUUGACAACUCACAGAUUUCAGUGCAAGGCUUCGUCUCCUCUAAUCGUUCUCCACGAUACGAGGCUCGCCUCAAACCAGGAACCACAGUCUCAGGAAUUUCUCUGCUACCAAAAGAAAAGCUAUCUGUAGCGUUUCUGAUCACUCUUUGACCAUUUGUUUCAGACAGAGCUAUUUUCUCUGCGACCUUGGCCAGAUGAGCCUCUCUAUUGAUGGAGACCGGUUCAUGUAUCACUUACAUGAAGAUUUUGAAGCCAAAUGUGGACUCGGGGUUGCUCUUUAUGGUUAGCUGUUUAAAAUUUUACAUCAUCUUUAACUUAAUUGCUUAUCUGUGUACUGUUUUUUUUCUCUUUCUUCUCAAUGUGCCUUGCUCGAGCAUCAAAAACGUCACACGUUGCACAUAUAGUGCCUUCACAGACCAACCUAGCUACAAGAGUGAAGGCUAUUUGUGUACUGAUUUAUACCUUUUAAGGUCAAAAGAAAUUUACAGUCAGUGCCGAACUCCUUUCAUACUUUUAGUGACGACUGUAAACACAAAAUUACUUGGUGGUGAUUCUUAUCUAACAACCAUGUGCAAUGUUUACCCCCAAAAAAACAACAAGAACCCUUACCCUAAGCUCUAUGUCAUCGUUGCGUGUCUUCGUGCAUGAACAUAGAUGUCCAACCCACCUUAGAUUAUUUAAACUGAUAUUAUUUCAGGUUGGGUUGUAACCCGUAUACUGCUAACCUGGUCAAUGCGGAAGAUGUAACAAAGUCUGAGUCAAUGACUGUUGUGGAAAUCUUGGAUUAAAUGAAGCAGAGGUCCGCCAAGGGAGGAUUCACAGCUGUAGAUAAGCCACUGAAAACGACCUGCUGAGUGCUGACCAUGUAAAUUAAUUGGUUUUGAACUAUUGCAAGAGGCGUUUUUUAUGCAUAGCCAUGAUAGAUGAUGUUGACCGUGACUCUGCUUGGUACUAUAUUGCCAGCGGUCGUAAAACAAAGGCCAACAGAGGCCCUACUUCGUUAAUGUGCCCAAAAUUUGGCAACGGUUGCCUCGCCGGAGUUGCCAAAAGCUGAGAGUAAUGGAAUAUGGGAUCUGAGUGUCAAGAGUUUCACCUAUGCCAGCGAUGGGCACGGAGUACAGCCAUGUGGUGAAAUGGCUAAGCUGUCUGCAUUUUAUUAUUAGAAAUAGAUGAAGAGACGGAUGAGAAGAGUGGACAGCAGAGAUGCAUGAGACUCCAAAGGUCCCAUUAAUACAUUCAAAAACUAAACGUACAUAACGUAUUUGUCUUUCUUUAUUGUUCUUUUUUCUUUACUCUAUGUGUUUUUGCUGUUCUUGCGAUUAGGGUUCUUGGUCUACUGUAAAUGUAUUAAUGGAGUGAUGGAAUCUUGCAGUGACUAAUACAACAAUAAGAUAGUAGUCAUCAGCAGUUCAUCUCUAA
Molecule: long non-coding RNA, 1855 nt
Organism: Raphanus sativus (radish)
Lineage: Eukaryota; Viridiplantae; Streptophyta; Magnoliopsida; Brassicales; Brassicaceae
Exons: 4
Source: RefSeq, a predicted model, not a curated record